AAAUUACAAAAAUAAUAAACAAUCCAAAUUUCUUUCCAUUGCUUAUACGAGGUGAACCGGCCCAGGGCCGAAAACCUCUUUAAUGAAGAUAAUAAUAAAUAAAUAUCCAUUGCUUUGUUUUUGAUGGGGUGAAUAUCUGAGCCAUGAGAUAAAUUCCAGGAGCAGUUCCCCUAUUUAUAUCCACCCAAAAGUAAAUUCCACUAUCCGCAAAAAUCAGUUCACGCACUUAAACAUAUUCAUUUAUCAUGAUCUGAUUAGUCAAGGCCAACGCACUGCCAGUGCACUGAAUGUCCUGGAUCAUAUGUUUCGAAUCAAAACAAACACGAUGCUACGCUACGCACACCAACAUAUCCAAUGACAGAUGGAACUGAAAAUGUUUUUUUAUUCAGGGUUCGGGUUGGCACUGACCCAGGUUUAAAAACGAAUUCGACAUAAGUGCCAUCCUUAAUAUUAAGAUGUUCCAAAUUGAGAUAGGGAGAGUUAGGCUUUUUGCUAGCACGAAUAAAAGUCUUGUAUAAUGGGUCCCCAACCUCGCGGAGAGGACGAGUUAAAAGAUUAAGGGAACAUUGGCGCCCAAAAAAAAAAAAAACAUUUAGACAUUUUGUAAACCGUUUGUGGCUAAAGUUAUUUAAAGUUCUUGUUUGUUUAGUAUUUUGGCUCAUUUAGAAGACUAACAUGGAGAUAGUUCCCUUGCAUUUGAGCGAGGAGAAGCUCAACUUUGAGUUAGCAUUGAGACACAUCACUGUUCUUGGUCUAACAACCCGUAGAAAUAAAUGCUUCAAGCUCAGAGAUGCUGUCGCUGGAUCACUCUAGCGCGUGAGUAUUCGACGUCCAAUCAUGUUAUGGAUGAUGAAGCGAAUAUUGAGAAUCGUCAGGCUCGUAUUAGAAUUCUUAUUCCCGCUUUAGAAAAAGCAAUGGAGAAGAAAGAUGUGGGAUUUCUUACACACACAGUUUCACGCCUACAGCAUUACAUGAAUCGACUGUCACGAAUUCAAACACCUCCAAUGCACCUUCAAGAGGUGUGCUUAAAGCUAAACGCGCUAAUAUCGUCUACGUUGGAAACGGUUUUCAUCGCAUUAGAUCCGACGCGUGUCAGCUCCGCGAGUGAAGUGAAUGCUGGUGAAGUGCCAUCCUCAGCAACAGUGGAUGUGUACACUGGUGCCGUGAGGAAAACUACAUCAAUCAGUGAACCAGUGCAUCAGCAAAUGAUUAGUUCAAUCGAGCCAGGAAUCCACAGCAGCCCUGUUCUCAACGGAGAUGGUAGACAGGACAGAAGGGUUCAAACUCAGCGCAACAAAGUCUGAUAGAGCUACUAGGAGAAGAGGAUGCAGUUCAGUCGCCGACGAGCAGAGAUAAGGCAAUACUACCAUGUAGCUACGCACAAAUGCUACGUGUGGAAGCAUGUUUUCAUUUUCAUGGAGCGACUGAGUCUUUCGCAAAAUUCUACCGAGACAUAUCAGCUCUGUUCCGGUUUGUGUCUCCACCAAUGUCAGAAGAAGAGCGUUUUUUAUAGUAAAUAAAAAUAUGAACACGGAGUACGCAUCAAUUGUUGCGCCAGCUCGCCCGCGAUUUUUGCAGGAGAUGGCAGAGGUUUGCAACGGAUUCGACGAAACGAGGAUGCUAUCAAGCCGUCAGCGGAGACUCGAUGCCACAGAGCUCACUUUUGGAACCAAAUUACGCGACACCCAAUACGGCUCAAAAACACAUUCAGCAUCUCAUCAGGCCACCUCCUGUGCGUUUUGGGAGAGUUCAUGCGUUGGAAAGCCACCAAGAAAAUAUCAAACAUGAGUUUCACCGAGACCGUACAGAAGACGAGCAACGCGACGAAGACAAUUGCAGCAAGCAGAUGGAAAACCAAAUUCAACAAGUCAACGCACUGAAAGUUCGGUUCGACCGCAAGGAGCAUUUCCGUCGAUCGGCCGCACAUCCAUACCGCUUCGAAUCAGGAACAUCUGGGGUUCCAGCAAUCCAGCCGAAUCCACAGAAAUAUCAACAACAACGAGUCCAAACACAAGCAUCUGAACGGUCGAUCGAAGAGGAACAACGUCUUCCGUUGCUAUGUUGGAACUGUGACGAGGAAGGACACAGGAAGGAUUCAUGAACUGUGACAAGCCACAAACCAUGUUCUUCUGUUACAGGUGUGGCCAGAAAGGAUUCUCCUUACGGAAUUGCCCAACACGGACAGAAAACUGUUAACAUUGAACCAAAAAACAUGAUUGUUGUUUUCAAAUCGUUACAUUUUAUUGAAUAUAGCGGGAAUGACGGCUUUGGCAGGUUUUGUUCUAUUAUUGGCAGGGGUUUUUUAUGACUGAUUUUGGCCUAAACAUUAUUUGCAUAUCAAAGGAUAUUGUGGCAAAAUUUUAUAAAAUUUGGUCGACAAAAACCCCCCUGAGAAUAAUAGAACAAAACCUGCCAAAGCCGUCUUUUCCCCUAUUAAGAAAUUUAUUGUUUCGACAAGAUUUGUUAACAUAAGAUCAAUAACAAAGUAUUAUUAUUUCAACAAUACUUAUUUGAAAUGAGCUUUUAGAAGAAGCUCGCAUGACGUUUGAAAAUUACCUCAGUGGGUUUUUGUGAACAAUAUUCGACAUUGAAUAUGUUUCCGUGGAAACUACAAAAACCUUUCGAAAAAUUCAACAUGCUUUUGCAACAUGCCACAGGUGUUUUUUUAGUGAAUGCCACUCAAAAGCAGUAAUGCUACGUUUAGACAAGGCAAGUGAAUUGAGCAAGUCGCUUGAAUUGAACGCGAACUGAACGUGUAAACACCUGAAUUCAAUUCACUUGAACGAAAAGAAUGUUGAACAUGUUCAACUUUUGGCAAGUCAAUUGAAUUCAACUGAGUUGUUCAAUUCACUGGCCCUGUCAAAACGUAGCAUAAAGCUUUGCUACGUUAAUGCUUUUUUUUCUUCAAUGGUUCUGUAUUCCGUCCGGAGCUUGGUUUGUUUUUCGACUUAGUGUUCUAUUUUAUAUAUCUUAUAAUAUAUCAUUUUAACAAAACGUAUAAUACGAGUCAAUAAAAUAUUUAUAUUUAUUUUAAUUCGUUGAAUAAAAUUUUUUACAAAAACCAAAAAGGGUAUUUUGUGGUUGUUUGGCUUGAUUUUAGUAAACAAAUCGAGCUUCCAUCAAAUCGACUUUUUUUCAAGUGGACAGAAAUUGACCGGACAUUAUAUUUAUACAGGAGACUGCUGUUGCCAAUUAUUGAGAACUUAUUGUUGGUUUAAGAAUGUGGCACGGCAACCAUCCGGUAAGAAAGCAUACCAAGCGAGAUACACAGCAUAUGAUCUUUAUAAGUAGGAAAGGUGGAAUUUCCCUCAAACAAAUCCACGGAGAUGUAAACAGAUAAAUAUUGACAUAAAUCCUGCCAAAUUGAAAAAAACGUACAGGAGGAAGUAUUUAAAAAUGUAGUGAAAUGCUAAAAAUGUAAUGAAGAAAAGCAAUAGAAAAAUAUUUUGAUUCUGAACCAACAAUGCAUUUAUUUAUUUAUAUUCAACCGAAUAAUUGAUUGGAAUAAAAAUACUUCUCUUUUUGAAUCAACAGUAAAUCUCUUUUUGAAUCAACAGUAAAUUUCUUUUAAAAUCAAUAAUAUUAUUUUUGUUAUGGUAUGGAAUAUUGGAAGCUAAUGCAAUCCAUAAGACAGCUGCGAACAGCUGACGAUUUUUGUUAACCUUGAUUUUUUGUCAGAUUCUGACCGGACUGACAGAAAAAUUCAAAGAAAAAUGUUAAGCGUGGCUUACACCAGAAGUGAGUUCCGUUCAACUGCAUACACACUUUGUUUUAAUUUCGAUUGUCAGUCCCAUCGCUGAAUGUCCUCAUGGAUAACAUAAUCUAGUGGUUUUGCUCAUCGACCGUUGUUAACACAUACCGCAGAUAAGCGGCGUUGUCUUGGUUGCCGGUUGCUUUCGGGCAGCUGCUUGCCCAAGCAGCAGCUUGUGCCACUCUUACCGCCACGCGUGGUAGACUAUCUCCAGCCGUCCCGUUCCGUACCCGUUCGAUUUGCAGCCGGCCAGGCAAUCGUUGGCCUCGGAGACCACCGUGUCGACGGAUCUGUAGGUGCAAAACAAAACCUGUUUUUAUUCCGUAGAACGCCCUUUAUUCGUUCGGAACAGCCUUUUCGCGGAUCUUUCGUGGGAACUGUUUCUGCGCGUCCCCAUAACGGUUGGCUUUCGAACAACUGGUGACUAAUAAACUUGUGGGUCACUAAGCUGGACACUGCGAUACGAUUUGCCACAUGGACGAGCGGCACUCCACCGUACUUCGAACAAGAUUUGAUCAACCCAUCUGCACGAUUAUGCGAAUCCGUUCAUCGAGGUUUGCUUUUAUUUAACAAUUUUCCGCAGAUCUUUCGUGCGAGCCGUUUAUGUGCGGCCUAGUAACGGUUGGUUUCGGGGUAAUCGUGGCUCACGAAUGCGUCGGUCACUGAACCGGUCACUGCGGUGUAGCUUGCGAUGUUGAUUGACGGCACUUCACCGUGCUUCGAAAGCGAAUGUGAAUGCCACUCGGGACAAUGGUCAAUUUCGACUGCUUCCUCUCAGCGAUGGAUUACCAACAUGCACGCGGUACCGUGGCCGUUCACGACAAUGGAUGCGUUGUUUCUCCUUUUCGAUUAUCGCCUGCCCCUUCGGACGGAAAUGCGAUGCAACUGACACGGCACGUCACCCCUUCUUCAAUAUAAUUUACCGGUGGCGUUUGUUUUCAACCCAGCAUAGGGAUGGCUAUGUUUAUUUUGUGUUUAUAAUCUAGUCUUUCCAAUUGCACGCUAACUAAUUCUACACAGCUGAACAGAACAAUGUGGCUCAAUUUCUGAACUGAAACAAGUCAUCAGAUGCGUCGUCUGCGGAAGACUAUGUACCCGAAACGACAAGUACAACCGAGAAAUCUUCCAGCGAGAAAGCAUGUAUUAAUACCAUCGAACCAAACGCAUCGCCCGGUAAAGAGAGAUGUAGAAUAGCUUCGUAUGAAUGGCUACCAGAGGAAUAGCUAAAGCUAUGAGGGGUGAUUCAACUAUGACGUCCACUAAUUUUUUGG
Long non-coding RNA from Armigeres subalbatus, 5022 nucleotides. RefSeq lists it as uncharacterized. The transcript has 3 exons. Lineage: Eukaryota; Metazoa; Arthropoda; Insecta; Diptera; Culicidae. The record is from RefSeq and is a predicted model, not a curated record.